Molecule: non-coding RNA, 426 nt
Organism: Leptonychotes weddellii (Weddell seal)
Lineage: Eukaryota; Metazoa; Chordata; Mammalia; Carnivora; Phocidae
Source: RefSeq, a predicted model, not a curated record
GCAGCAGCAGCAGCAGCAGGCGGCUCCCCCCCAAGCCCAGCCCCAGUCCCAGCCCCAGUUCCAGCGCCAGGGGCUUCAGCAGACGCAGCAGCAGCAACAGACGGCAGCUUUGGUCCGGCAGCUCCAACAGCAGCUCUCCAAUACUCAGCCACAGCCCAGCACCAACAUAUUUGGACGCUACUGAGCCACCUGGAAGAACCUGGAAGAACCGCUUGUGCACUGGAUGUGGCCCCACCCUUUCCUCUUGAUCCCCGGUCCCCUUCCCGGGCUAGCACCAGUAGUGGUUGGGGCUCUUCCCUCAGGCUCCGUUUUUAAUAAGUUUUUAGUAUUUUUGUUAAUGUGAGGCAUUGAGCUGUUGGGUUUUGUAUAUUAUUUAUAUAGAGACCCCAGAGCUGUUGCACCCAAUACACAGAGCUUCUUUGCAAA